Polypterus senegalus (gray bichir) is the source of this 834-nucleotide long non-coding RNA. RefSeq lists it as uncharacterized. The transcript is spliced from 3 exons. The record is from RefSeq and is a predicted model, not a curated record. NCBI's taxonomy places the organism in Eukaryota, Metazoa, Chordata, Cladistia, Polypteriformes, Polypteridae.
UUGCUGGUCCGAAAAAAAAAAAAAAAGUCUAAAAAUAGAAGGUAUGCGCAUUUAGCAACUCGACGGGCUUGAUCUGCGCUCCUAGAAUUAAGAGCACGUUUGAGAAGGCAGUCAGUGCCGGAUUGCACAUUUAUCAUGAAAGCUGCCAGCUGCAAAAACAAAGAUGGGCACGAUAACCAGAGAAUGCUGCGCCCGGAGUAACGGACUUGGCAUCCAGGGGAACACAGCUGUCGGCACAAGCUUAUUUUAUAUCUGAAAUGUAAGGGGAGUUUCUGUAUUGGCAAGCUACGCUGCCUCCAGCUGACCUAAGGACUCUGUAGCCUCCUUUGAUGACAGAAAGGAUGAAGAUGAUCAUGUUAUGAUGUGACUGACAGGUAUUACUGUAGAAUUCUCAGGUUUGUGAAAGUCACCUGGGUGAAGCACAGAGGCUGUUUGGAAGCAUGUGCUGAUAGCACGUUGCCACAACUCCUACACAUCGAACCACCUGAAUUGGGAGCCAAGUGCACUGGGUGACCUCUCAGCACCACAGUGGAACAGUGUGAGGUUUUUUACAGUGGCUGGAGUGCCAAACCUGCCAACAACCCCACGCACUGUGACUGACCAUAUUUAAAAUUGAUAAAUAUUUAGAUAACUUAAUUAUUAGCUAACCAAACAAGACUCAAGGGACUGACUGAUAUAUUUUCAAUGAUACCUUUUUUAUUUGGUCCCCAGUUGGUGGUAGUGAGGAAGAAUUACAUUCUCUGUUUACUUUCAUUUUAGCAUAACACGAGUACAAGAGUAAAAUUAUGUACUGACGCACAACAGCAAUAAAAAUCUUAUUUUCUUUUAGAAAGA